GAUAUGGGGGAGCGUUUGCUCGGGCUAAUUUAUCACCUUUCUUGUGGUCCCCCGCCCUCCGGUUCCUGUGAGAGAAGCCUCGCGAGAUUGCCUAAGGCAGUCCCCAGUGACGCCAUCUUUGUCCCUGGCGAUCUACGGCGCCCGACGGAAGUCCUAAAGCCGGCGGCAGCCCUAAAACCGGCAGCUAGCUUGCCAAACUCCCCUAGACCGGAUCCAGGAACUACGAGGCGGGCCUCGGUGGGAGGGACGCGCAGAGAGAAGAGGGAGGGAAGGGGGCGGCGGCGGCGGCUCUCACCGGAUCUGGGCUCCGCGCGGCGCGAACCCGAGGGGGGUCGGGCGGGGAAGCUGCGCCGGCCCGGACCCCCCCGCGGGAGAAGACGACUGGCGUGAGGGCGAGACGAGGCGGCGGCAGCGGACUGGGAGCAGCGUCUACCGGGUGUGUCUGCGAGUAGGGAGGCCUGGCACCUGCCCUAGCCUGGGCGUCGUGGGUAUCCCAGGGAUCGAACUCUGGACCUUGUGCUUGCGAGGCAGGAGGCAGGUGGCGGAACUACUGAG
Molecule: long non-coding RNA, 555 nt
Organism: Heterocephalus glaber (naked mole-rat)
Lineage: Eukaryota; Metazoa; Chordata; Mammalia; Rodentia; Bathyergidae
Source: Ensembl